UACAGAGGUCUCAAGCGUUGUUCGGAUUCAUUGGGCGUAAAGGGUGCGUAGGUGGCGCUGUAAGUCGGGUGUGAAAUUUCGGAGCUUAACUCCGAAACUGCAUUCGAUACUGCGGUGCUUGAGGACUGGAGAGGAGACUGGAAUUUAUGGUGUAGCAGUGAAAUGCGUAGAGAUCAUAAGGAAGACCAGUGGCGAAGGCGGGUCGCUGGACAGUUCCUGACACUGAGGCACGAAGGCCAGGGGAGCAAACGGG
RNAcentral lists this ribosomal RNA (253 nucleotides) under uncultured bacterium. RNAcentral's name for it is "partial 16S ribosomal RNA". It matches the Rfam family "Bacterial small subunit ribosomal RNA", at positions 524 to 776 of the family's 1533-position model. The record is from RNAcentral.